This 200-nucleotide ribosomal RNA is filed under the name uncultured bacterium. RNAcentral's name for it is "partial 16S ribosomal RNA". It matches the Rfam family "Bacterial small subunit ribosomal RNA", at positions 1302 to 1500 of the family's 1533-position model. The record is from RNAcentral.
AGUCUGCAACCCGACUACAUGAAGCUGGAAUCGCUAGUAAUCGCGGAUCAGAAUGCCGCGGUGAAUACGUUCCCGGGUCUUGUACACACCGCCCGUCACACCAUGGGAGUCGGAAAUGCCCGAAGUCUGUGACCCAACCGGAAAGGAAGGAGCAGCCGAAGGCAGGUCCGAUGACUGGGGUGAAGUCGUAACAAGGUAGC